RNAcentral lists this ribosomal RNA (200 nucleotides) under uncultured organism. Its description in RNAcentral is "partial small subunit ribosomal RNA". It matches the Rfam family "Bacterial small subunit ribosomal RNA", at positions 1185 to 1382 of the family's 1533-position model. The record is from RNAcentral.
UCAAAUCAUCACGCCCCUUAUGUCCAGGGCUACACACGUGUUACAAUGGGUAGUGGACAAUGGGUUGCUUGGCAGCGAUGUCUGGCAAAUCCCCUAAACCACCCCUCAGUUCGGAUCGUAGUCUGCAACUCGACUACGUGAAGUCGGAAUCGCUAGUAAACGCAGAUCAGCACGCUGCGUUGAAUACGUUCCCGGGCCUU